Homo sapiens (human) is the source of this 803-nucleotide long non-coding RNA. Ensembl annotates it as long intergenic non-protein coding RNA 3000. The record is from Ensembl. Lineage: Eukaryota; Metazoa; Chordata; Mammalia; Primates; Hominidae.
CACAGAAUGAGGCUUCAGAUCAUUUUAAUCAAUUAUUCUUUAUUAAGGCAAUUUAAUAGGAGAAAAGACUAAAUGUUAUUUCUUGUGCUUCACAGAUGUAUUCCAGAUGAAUAUACAUUUAAAAAUAUACAAAGAAUAAACACAGACAAGUAGAAUACCUUUGAUUACACAGCUACAAAAAUCUGACCACCUUGAAAUACUGUGUCAGGGUUAGCAAACUUCCUCUGUAAGGCCAAAUAGUAAAAGUUUCAGGCUCUGUGAACUAUAUGAUCUCUGCCACAACUAUUGAACUCUGUCAUCAUAGCAUAAAAGUAGCCAGAGACAACACAUACACAAAUGAGCAUAGCUAUGACCCAAUGAAACAUUAUUUACUAAAACAGGUAGUGGGCCAGAUUUGCCAAUUAUUGUACUAUAAUGGAUACACUUUCUCUCACAAGAGAAUUCUACCAUAGGCAUUUGAAUACAGUACAUGAAAUUCAAAACCUCAGUUGUGAAUUCGCUAUUUACCAAUGACAAGGUUUAAGUUCUUCAGUGGCCAUGAACAUUAUCAAUUAAUGCAAAGAUCCUGGGCUUUCAAUCCAAAGAAGCUUACCUCUCUGCUCCAGAUGCUCAUCUUGCUGGCUGUGUGUCUCCAGCACAGAAUCUUCUGGAGAGGAAAGAAGAAACCAUGUCUAGACAAGGUGCUGGAAAGACCCAGGGAAGACACAGGUGAGCUAAGAAAGCAGUAGAAACUGGGUAAUUAAAAGUCAACAUAAUGGCUGGAAACUUGUUCAAGGAGAUAUAAAAAGAAAGAAAAACCAAAA